CGGGUGCACUGAUCCAGCCGGGCCUUUCCCUCUGUGGAACCCCAUGGCCUUCACUGGCUGUGGUGGGGAAACAGGACUUUUACUUUGAAAAAAUUAGAGUGCUCCAGGCAGGCCUAUGCUCGAAUACAUUAGCAUGGAAUAAUAGAAUAGGACGUGUGGUUCUAUUUUGUUGGUUUCUAGGACCGCCGUAAUGAUUAAUAGGGACAGUCGGGGGCAUCAGUAUUCAAUUGUCAGAGGUGAAAUUCUUGGAUCUAUUGAAGACUAACUACUGCGAAAGCAUUUGCCAAGGAUGUUUUCAUUGAUAAGGAACGAAAGUUAGGGGAUCGAAGACGAUCAGAUACCGUCGUAGUCUUAACUAUAAACUAUGCCGACUAGGGAUCGGACGAUGUUAUUCUUUGACGCGUUCGGCACCUUUCGAGAAAUCAAAGUGCUUGGGCUCCAGGGGGAGUAUGGUCGCAAGGCUGAAACUUAAAGAAAUUGACGGAAGGGCACCACCAGGGGUGGAACCUGCGACUUAAUUUGACUCAACACGGGGAAACUCACCAGGUCCAGACACAGUGAGGAUUGACAGAUUGAGAGCUCUUUCUUGAUUCUGUGGGUGGUGGUGCAUGGCCGUUCUUAGUUGGUGGAGUGAUUUGUCUGCUUAAUUGCGAUAACGAACGAGACCUUAACCUGCUAAAUAGCCCGUACUGCUUUGGCAGUUCGCCGGCUUCUUAGAGGGACUAUCGG
This 729-nucleotide ribosomal RNA is filed under the name uncultured eukaryote. RNAcentral describes it as "SSU rRNA". It matches the Rfam family "Eukaryotic small subunit ribosomal RNA", at positions 670 to 1426 of the family's 1831-position model. The record is from RNAcentral.